Molecule: ribosomal RNA, 253 nt
Filed under: uncultured bacterium
Lineage: Bacteria
Description: partial 16S ribosomal RNA
Rfam family: Bacterial small subunit ribosomal RNA
Source: RNAcentral
UACGUAGGGUGCAAGCGUUAAUCGGAAUUACUGGGCGUAAAGCGUGCGCAGGCGGUGAUGUAAGACAGUUGUGAAAUCCCCGGGCUCAACCUGGGAACUGCAUCUGUGACUGCAUCGCUGGAGUGUGGCAGAGGGGGAUGGAAUUCCGCGUGUAGCAGUGAAAUGCGUAGAUAUGCGGAGGAACACCGAUGGCGAAGGCAAUCCCCUGGGCCUGCACUGACGCUCAUGCACGAAAGCGUGGGGAGCAAACAGG